RNAcentral lists this small RNA (563 nucleotides) under Pongo abelii (Sumatran orangutan). RNAcentral's name for it is "processed transcript". Lineage: Eukaryota; Metazoa; Chordata; Mammalia; Primates; Hominidae. The record is from RNAcentral.
GUUUCUUCUCAUUGAUACAUUCACUCCUGCCUUUUAAAUGCUUUCUGAUGCAGCACCUGGGAAACUGAGAAUUGUUCAUGGAGAUGUCUUGACAUUUAAGGUAGAAAAGGCUUUUUCAGAAAGUCUUAAAAGACCCUGGGAAGAUGAUCCUCCAGAUGUACAUAUUAUUGGAAAUCUGCCUUUUAGUGUUUCAACUCCACUGAUUAUCAAGUGGCUUGAAAAUAUUUCCUGUAGAGAUGGACCUUUUGUUUAUGGCAGAACUCAGAUGACUUUGACUUUUCAAAAGGAAGUGGCAGAGAGACUUGCAGCCAAUACAGGAAGCAAACAGCGUAGUCGCCUCUCUGUUAUGGCUCAGUACCUCUGCAAUGUUCGACACAUCUUUACAAUUCCAGGACGAGCUUUUGUCCCCAAACCAGAGUCCUGCCUGUGCCUUUCAGGGCAUUUAAAAUUGCUGCUAGAAAGUUCUGUGGCUUUUCAGACUACACUCAUGAAUUCAGUCCAGCUGAUUAAUCAGUGUCUACCGAAAAUAAGUGGUGUCUCUAUCUGUGAAGUUUAGCACUGAG